Molecule: long non-coding RNA, 237 nt
Filed under: Dunaliella salina
Lineage: Eukaryota; Viridiplantae; Chlorophyta; Chlorophyceae; Chlamydomonadales; Dunaliellaceae
Description: long non-coding RNA (DSAL_LNC000228)
Source: RNAcentral
CAAGGAGGGCAGCACAGCGGCCAGCCCAAUCAGUGUGAGCUUGGGGAAGGCAGCGUAGGUCUGCAGGCCGUCCAUGCGGAGGCGCAGGUGCAGCUUCUGGGAGAUGCCUGCAGUGCGGUGCAAGAUGGUGCAGUGCUCUGUGUGUGUGUUUGUGUGUGUGUGUGUGUGUGUGUGUGUGUGUGUGUGUGUGUGUGUGUGUGUGUGUGUGUGUGUGUGUGUGUGUGUGUGUGUGUGUGU